UGUUGACCUACCUGCUCGGCUGCUCCUAUACCCUUUCUCUCUCAUAUUCUCUCAUACAAUCUCCUCUAAGUCUCUAACCAUCCUACCCCUGUUUUUCCAUUUUAAUUAUCUGAAAAAUCAAGCUCGAUCUGCGAAUAACAUGGCACGAACCGCUGCGAAGAAGGAGACGUCUCGAAGCAAAAAUUCCAACAUUUCCAUGUCUCAAAUCUGGUUUAUCAAUCGAAGGUUGAGAGGCAAGCUUCAUCAAAGACGAAGUAUAAUUAAAGUUUAAUCUUAGUUGUUGGGAUGAAUUCGUGGAGGGAUCCGUGAAAUCAUUUCGUGCCGAUCUUGGAUCUACUCGUUAUUCGAUGAUAUCGGCAGUGUGAUGGAAAAUUAGUUCUCAAACUCACCGAUUACAUGGAGUAUGUUGAACCUCAAAACCAUGUGAAGGUCUCGCAAGCAGAGCUCUUGAUCAUUGACGAUGCAGCUGCUAUACCGUUGCCUGUUGUCAAGUCAUUGCUGGGUCCCUACCUUGUUUUCUUAUCCUCC
Molecule: long non-coding RNA, 528 nt
Organism: Spinacia oleracea (spinach)
Lineage: Eukaryota; Viridiplantae; Streptophyta; Magnoliopsida; Caryophyllales; Amaranthaceae
Exons: 4
Source: RefSeq, a predicted model, not a curated record